RNAcentral lists this transfer RNA (27 nucleotides) under Hordeum bogdanii. Its description in RNAcentral is "partial tRNA-Lys". The record is from RNAcentral. RNAcentral also lists the same sequence under 36 other names. Lineage: Eukaryota; Viridiplantae; Streptophyta; Magnoliopsida; Poales; Poaceae.
CUCAAUGGUAGAGUACUCGGCCGGGUU